Pelobates cultripes (western spadefoot toad) is the source of this 614-nucleotide non-coding RNA. Lineage: Eukaryota; Metazoa; Chordata; Amphibia; Anura; Pelobatidae. The record is from the annotation of a GenBank genome assembly.
CCCUGACCCAACGCCGAGGGACAACGGCACUGGCUACAGGUAAGUCACUGAAGGGUUUUAACCCCUUCAGCAACUUGGGAUGGGGGAGGGGACCUGCAGUGCCAGGAAAACGGUUUGGUAGCUCUCAGAUACAUCCUUAUGUUGGAAAUCCAGCCUGUGGUAUUAUGAGGCUAUAUGCUUUACAAUAUAUACUUUUAGCAUUAGGCAUAAGUUAUCCUUUACAAAUCAAUGUUUUUCUUUUUUCAUUAGUUAGUUGUGGGGUUUUUAUGGUUUAUUUUAACCGUUCCCCCAAGUCUCCUGGGUUAAUAUAGUUAAUAAAUUAUACCUAAUCACUGCUACUGUUAGUGUUGCGGAGACUCGAUUGAUACCUACUUACCUCAAUAUAUCAAGACAGACGAAUAGUUUGACUCCCAGUGAGUAUCUACACUAAUUAAGUGGCAUUUUUUGUAACAGUGCUCUUUGUUAUUUUUUUUAAGGCUCAAUUGUGGUUUAUAUUGCCGGGCCACUUUCCUUUCUGGAAUUAUAAACAUAUGUCCUCCCUACAGUCACUCCAUACACUGAGAUCUCCAUAUGUAUAUAUUUUCUUCUGUUAGGUGAUGGGUUUAUUAUUAUUU